AAGCACCUCGAGACAUGGGUGAAGGCAUCGGGCAUCCUUGGUGGACCCAAAGAUGCUUCACCGACAGUAAUUUCCCCAAAGCAGUACAAAAAGAGGUUCAGGAAAGCGAUGACUGCCUAUUUUCUGAUGGUUCCAGAUCAAUGGUCACCUCCCACAGUUGCUCCUGGCAAGUCUCAGACGGAUCUAUGUGAAGAGAAUGCAUACUCUGCUGAGUAAUUCCCUCCUAGGUUAUCAAUGUUUUUGCAAUUCUUUUUAAUUUUUCACUCAAAUUCUAUUGGAAGAAGCCUUAUCCUUUUGGAUUCUCUUUUCAAUGAGUAUUCAUAUAGUCAGAAGAUGGUUCCAGAUCAAUGGUCACCUCCCACAGUAGCUCCUAGCAAGUCUCAGACGGAUCUAUGUGAAGAGAAUGCAUACUCUGCUGAGUAAUUCCCUCCUAGGUUAUCAAUGUUUUUGCAAUUCUUUUUAAUUUUUCACUCAAAUUCUAUUGGAAGAAGCCUUAUCCUUUU
RNAcentral lists this long non-coding RNA (503 nucleotides) under Olea europaea (common olive). Its description in RNAcentral is "long non-coding RNA (OEUR_LNC000006)". The record is from RNAcentral. Lineage: Eukaryota; Viridiplantae; Streptophyta; Magnoliopsida; Lamiales; Oleaceae.